UCGAUCGUAAACCCUAAAAAUGUAUAUUUUCAAACCAUAUGUAUAAUAAAUUACAACAAUAAUCAAACCAUAUGCAUAUUUUCAAUAUCCGUGUAUGAGUAAUAUCUCGUUUUCAAUUUCAAUGUUAUUUAUACUCCAUCCAGUUAGGGUUUUGGACGGCGCUCGAAGGAAUUGGGGUUUUGUAACUGGAUCGUAUUGGCCAACAUUCUCUUUGCAUAUCAGGUUCUUGUAAGAGUAUAUGCACGGGAAACCAUGGACAGGUUUGCUAUUAUUAGACGUUAAGCCUCUUUGUUAGCUGUUUCACAUUGGGGAUAGAGUUUGUCAGCAGUCUCUUCGUAAUGAUGGUUGUAAGUGUUGUUGGCUCUCAGGUUCUGAUGUUUUUUAUGUGACCAAUGGGUCAUAGCUACAAUAGCAACAAUAGGAUGACCAUAUUUGAAAUCUGUAGUCAUCAACCAAGGAAUGUAUGAUGUCAGGUUCAAUAUUAUGUAUGUUUUAUUUUUAUAAUUAUUUUUCUGACUUUCAAAA
Molecule: long non-coding RNA, 525 nt
Organism: Erigeron canadensis
Lineage: Eukaryota; Viridiplantae; Streptophyta; Magnoliopsida; Asterales; Asteraceae
Exons: 4
Source: RefSeq, a predicted model, not a curated record